GACGAACGCUGGCGGCGUGCUUAACACAUGCAAGUCGAACGGAAAGGCCCUGCUUUUGUGGGGUGCUCGAGUGGCGAACGGGGGAGUAACACGUGAGUAACCUGCCCUUGACUUUGUGAUAACUUCAGGAAACUGGGGCUAAUACCGGAUAGGAGCUCCUGCUGCAUGGUGGUGGUUGGAAAGUUUCGGCGGUUGGGGAUGGACUCGCGGCUUAUCAGCUGGUUGGGCGGGUAGUCGCUUACCAAGGCUUCGACGGAUAGCCGGCAUGGGAGGGUGGACAGGCACCAUGGGCCUGAGGUACGGAGCAGACUGCAACGGGAGGCAGCAGUGGAGAAUAUUACACAAUGGGCGGAAGUCUGAGGCAGAGACGCCGCGUGCGGGAUGACGGCUUUCGGGUUGUAAACCGCUUUCGCCUGUGACGAAGCGGGAGUGACGGUAAUGGGUAAAGAAGCACCGGCUAACUACGUG
This 468-nucleotide ribosomal RNA is filed under the name uncultured bacterium. RNAcentral describes it as "partial 16S ribosomal RNA". It matches the Rfam family "Bacterial small subunit ribosomal RNA", at positions 28 to 507 of the family's 1533-position model. The record is from RNAcentral.